Long non-coding RNA from Equus quagga, 294 nucleotides. RefSeq lists it as uncharacterized. NCBI's taxonomy places the organism in Eukaryota, Metazoa, Chordata, Mammalia, Perissodactyla, Equidae. The transcript has 3 exons. The record is from RefSeq and is a predicted model, not a curated record.
UUUGACUCUCCCACUGACUAGCUCCGUGAUCCUGGGUCGGUAACUUGACCUCAUCCUCAUUUCUUCAGCUGUAAAAUGAGGAGACAGUGGGAAAACCAGUCCAGGCGACAAGGGCAGAAAUUCCCCAAGGAAAUAGGAAAUUUCAACAUUCACAUCUAUUGACUCACUUCAUCCACAAGGGAGGAAACUUGGAAGCCAAAGAAAAGCAUAAAGAAAAAACAAAAUCCUCUGCUACCCAGAAAUAACCUAUCAACAAUUUGUAUUUUUUGGUCUUUAAAAAAAAAAUAAAGCUGG